RNAcentral lists this ribosomal RNA (465 nucleotides) under uncultured bacterium. Its description in RNAcentral is "partial 16S ribosomal RNA". It matches the Rfam family "Bacterial small subunit ribosomal RNA", at positions 28 to 507 of the family's 1533-position model. The record is from RNAcentral.
GACGAACGCUGGCGGCGUGCUUAACACAUGCAAGUCGAACGGAAAGGCCCUGCUUGCAGGGUACUCGAGUGGCGAACGGGUGUGUAACACGUGGGUGAUCUGCCCUGCACUUCGGGAUAAGCCUGGGAAACUGGGUCUAAUACCGGAUAGGAGCCAUUUUUAGUGUGAUGGUUGGAAAGUUUUUUCGGUGUAGGAUGAGCUCGCGGCCUAUCAGCUUGUUGGUGGGGUAAUGGCCUACCAAGGCGGCGACGGGUAGCCGGCCUGAGAGGGUGGACGGCCACAUUGGGACUGAGAUACGGCCCAGACUCCUACGGGAGGCAGCAGUGGGGAAUAUUGCACAAUGGGCGCAAGCCUGAUGCAGCGACGCCGCGUGGGGGAUGACGGCCUUCGGGUUGUAAACUCCUUUCGCUAGGGACGAAGCUUUUUGUGACGGUACCUAGAUAAGAAGCACCGGCUAACUACGUG